This 253-nucleotide ribosomal RNA is filed under the name uncultured bacterium. RNAcentral describes it as "partial 16S ribosomal RNA". It matches the Rfam family "Bacterial small subunit ribosomal RNA", at positions 524 to 776 of the family's 1533-position model. The record is from RNAcentral.
UACGUAGGUGGCAAGCGUUGUCCGGAUUUACUGGGCGUAAAGAGCGUGUAGGCGGCCAAGCAGGUCCGUUGUGAAAACUGGAGGCUUAACCUCCAGACGUCGACGGAAACCGCGUGGCUAGAGUCCGGAAGAGGAGAGUGGAAUUCCUGGUGUAGCGGUGAAAUGCGCAGAUAUCAGGAGGAACACCAAUGGCGAAGGCAGCUCGCUGGGACGUGACUGACGCUGAGACGCGAAAGCGUGGGGAGCAAACAGG